UUUCGCAAUGCCCGAAAGGGUGACGAAGCGACGCCGCGUGGGUGAGGAAGGCCCUCGGGUUGUAAAGCCCUGUCAGGAGUUAAGAAAUAUAGGCUCGCUAAUAUCGUGUCUAUUUGACAAAGGCUCCAAAGGAAGCCACGGCUAACUCUGUGCCAGCAGCCGCGGUAAUACAGAGGUGGCAAGCGUUGUUCGGAAUUAUUGGGCGUAAAGAGCACGUAGGUGGGUUUGUAAGUCAGAUGUGAAAGCCUUCUGUUCAACGGAAGAAUUGCAUCUGAAACUGCGAGUCUUGAGUGUAGGAGGGGAGAAUGGAACUUCUGGUGGAGCGGUGAAAUGCGUAGAUAUCAGAAGGAACGCCGGCGGCGAAAGCGAUUCUCUGGCCUAUUACUGACACUCAGUGUGCGAAAGCUAGGGGAGCAAACGGGAUUAGAUACCCCGGUAGUCCUAGCCGUAAACGAUGGGCACUAAGUAGAGGGGUUUUA
This 479-nucleotide ribosomal RNA is filed under the name uncultured bacterium. RNAcentral describes it as "bacterial SSU rRNA". It matches the Rfam family "Bacterial small subunit ribosomal RNA", at positions 364 to 833 of the family's 1533-position model. The record is from RNAcentral.